This 376-nucleotide ribosomal RNA is filed under the name uncultured bacterium. Its description in RNAcentral is "bacterial SSU rRNA". It matches the Rfam family "Bacterial small subunit ribosomal RNA", at positions 137 to 507 of the family's 1533-position model. The record is from RNAcentral.
GGGGGAAUAACGCAGACGAAAGCUGCGCUAAUACCGCAUACCGCCUGGAAGGGGAAGCGGGGGACCGUAAGACCUCGCGCGAUUAGAGCGGCCGAUGCCUGAUUAGCUUGUUGGUGGGGUAAAAGCCCACCAAGGCGACGAUCAGUAGCUGGUCUGAGAGGACGAUCAGCCACACUGGGACUGAGACACGGCCCAGACUCCUACGGGAGGCAGCAGUGGGGAAUUUUGGACAAUGGGCGCAAGCCUGAUCCAGCAAUGCCGCGUGCAGGAAGAAGGCCUUCGGGUUGUAAACUGCUUUUGUACGGAGCGAAACGGUUUAGGUUAAUACCCUGAGCUAAUGACGGUACCGUAAGAAUAAGCACCGGCUAACUACGUG